Molecule: transfer RNA, 77 nt
Filed under: Planctomycetota bacterium
Lineage: Bacteria; Pseudomonadati; Planctomycetota
Description: tRNA-His
Rfam family: tRNA
About the family: Transfer RNA (tRNA) molecules are approximately 80 nucleotides in length.
Source: RNAcentral
GCGAAAAUAGCUCAGUUGGUUAGAGCGUCUGACUGUGGCUCAGAAGGCCACGGGUUCGAAUCCCGUUUUUCGCCCCA